UACGUAGGGUCCGAGCGUUGUCCGGAAUUACUGGGCGUAAAGAGCUCGUAGGUGGUUUGUCGCGUUGUUCGUGAAAACUCACAGCUCAACUGUGGGCGUGCGGGCGAUACGGGCAGACUUGAGUACUGCAGGGGAGACUGGAAUUCCUGGUGUAGCGGUGAAAUGCGCAGAUAUCAGGAGGAACACCAGCGGCGAAGGCGGCGCUCUGGGCUGGAACUGACGCUGAGGAGCGAAAGCGUGGGGAGCGAACAGG
RNAcentral lists this ribosomal RNA (253 nucleotides) under uncultured bacterium. RNAcentral's name for it is "partial 16S ribosomal RNA". It matches the Rfam family "Bacterial small subunit ribosomal RNA", at positions 524 to 776 of the family's 1533-position model. The record is from RNAcentral.